RNAcentral lists this ribosomal RNA (882 nucleotides) under Triticum aestivum (bread wheat). RNAcentral describes it as "partial small subunit ribosomal RNA". The record is from RNAcentral. Lineage: Eukaryota; Viridiplantae; Streptophyta; Magnoliopsida; Poales; Poaceae.
AUGUGUUAUGCUCUGCAUACGUGGCACUGUACAUGGCUAGCAAAAUUGAUCCUAUGUAUGUGGAUGGCCCUGCCGCUUAACACGAUCACGUUACGUAUGCCGGCAGUCCGACGACGGCGACGAGGCGUCAGCGACCAGCUUCCGGAGCGCGCAUCUCGACGCUGCCACGUCCCUCCCGGCGACGAAUGGGUGGGCAAGCAGCUCCGCGACGGACGCCCUGUUGCGGUAGUCCUUGCGCAGGCACGCGGCGACGAACCCCCGGAGCUCCGGCGAGGAGGCGCCCUCGGGCAGCACCGGCGGGUCGCCGAAGCAGACGGCGCACAUGAGCGCCGCCCAGCUCGGCCGCUGCCCGGCGGGGAGGAGCGGGUACCUGCCCAUGAAGAGCUCAAGGAGCGUGACCCCCAGGCUCCACACGUCGGCGGCGCACGGGUCGUAGUGCCCGCCGUGCGCCUCCGGGUCGAAGCGCUCGGGGCUCAUGUAAGCGGAGGUGCCGGCGUACGACGCGCAGUGGUCGCCGGCGCGGGCGAGCACCUUGGCGAUGCCGAAGUCGGCGACCUUGACCUCCCCGGCGGUGCUCACGAGGAGGUUGCCCGGCUUGACGUCGAGGUGCACGAUGCGGCGGGCGUGGAGGUACGCCAGCCCCGACAGCGCCUGCGCGGCCACCUCCGCGAGCGCGGCCUCCGCGAACGCGCCGCGGCUGGUCCUGACGGAGUCGAGCGACCCGCCGUCGACCAGCUCGAGGAGCAGCGCGACGUCGCCGGACGCCGCGGCGGGGAGCACGGAGUGGCACCGGACGACGAAGGGCGAGGCGGUGCGGCUGAGCACGUCCGCCUCGGCGGCCGCGGCGGGGUCGCCGUAGUGCUGCACCUUGAGCGCGUAUAG